RNAcentral lists this ribosomal RNA (1381 nucleotides) under uncultured bacterium. Its description in RNAcentral is "bacterial SSU rRNA". It matches the Rfam family "Bacterial small subunit ribosomal RNA", at positions 18 to 1394 of the family's 1533-position model. The record is from RNAcentral.
CCUGGCUCACGAUGAACGCUAGCUACAGGCUUAACACAUGCAAGUCGAGGGGCAGCAUGGUCUUAGCUUGCUAAGGCCGAUGGCGACCGGCGCACGGGUGAGUAACACGUAUCCAACCUGCCGUCUACUCUUGGACAGCCUUCUGAAAGGAAGAUUAAUACAAGAUGGCAUCAUGAGUCCGCAUGUUCACAUGAUUAAAGGUAUUCCGGUAGACGAUGGGGAUGCGUUCCAUUAGAUAGUAGGCGGGGUAACGGCCCACCUAGUCUUCGAUGGAUAGGGGUUCUGAGAGGAAGGUCCCCCACAUUGGAACUGAGACACGGUCCAAACUCCUACGGGAGGCAGCAGUGAGGAAUAUUGGUCAAUGGGCGAGAGCCUGAACCAGCCAAGUAGCGUGAAGGAUGACUGCCCUAUGGGUUGUAAACUUCUUUUAUAAAGGAAUAAAGUCGGGUAUGGAUACCCGUUUGCAUGUACUUUAUGAAUAAGGAUCGGCUAACUCCGUGCCAGCAGCCGCGGUAAUACGGAGGAUCCGAGCGUUAUCCGGAUUUAUUGGGUUUAAAGGGAGCGUAGAUGGAUGUUUAAGUCAGUUGUGAAAGUUUGCGGCUCAACCGUAAAAUUGCAGUUGAUACUGGAUAUCUUGAGUGCAGUUGAGGCAGGCGGAAUUCGUGGUGUAGCGGUGAAAUGCUUAGAUAUCACGAAGAACUCCGAUUGCGAAGGCAGCCUGCUAAGCUGCAACUGACAUUGAGGCUCGAAAGUGUGGGUAUCAAACAGGAUUAGAUACCCUGGUAGUCCACACGGUAAACGAUGAAUACUCGCUGUUUGCGAUAUACUGCAAGCGGCCAAGCGAAAGCGUUAAGUAUUCCACCUGGGGAGUACGCCGGCAACGGUGAAACUCAAAGGAAUUGACGGGGGCCCGCACAAGCGGAGGAACAUGUGGUUUAAUUCGAUGAUACGCGAGGAACCUUACCCGGGCUUAAAUUGCAGAUGAAUUACGGUGAAAGCCGUAAGCCGCAAGGCAUCUGUGAAGGUGCUGCAUGGUUGUCGUCAGCUCGUGCCGUGAGGUGUCGGCUUAAGUGCCAUAACGAGCGCAACCCUUGUUGUCAGUUACUAACAGGUUCCGCUGAGGACUCUGACAAGACUGCCAUCGUAAGAUGUGAGGAAGGUGGGGAUGACGUCAAAUCAGCACGGCCCUUACGUCCGGGGCUACACACGUGUUACAAUGGGGGGUACAGAGGGCCGCUACCACGCGAGUGGAUGCCAAUCCCCAAAACCUCUCUCAGUUCGGACUGGAGUCUGCAACCCGACUCCACGAAGCUGGAUUCGCUAGUAAUCGCGCAUCAGCCACGGCGCGGUGAAUACGUUCCCGGGCCUUGUACACACCGCC